GAUUACAGAAAUACCACCCUGAAUGUUCCCAAUCUUAUCUGAUCUCAAAAGCUAAGCAGAGUUGGACCUGGUUUGUACUUAGAUGAUAGACUACCAGAGAAUACUGGGUGUUGUAGGCU
This 119-nucleotide ribosomal RNA is filed under the name Monodelphis domestica (gray short-tailed opossum). The record is from RNAcentral. Lineage: Eukaryota; Metazoa; Chordata; Mammalia; Didelphimorphia; Didelphidae.